RNAcentral lists this ribosomal RNA (415 nucleotides) under uncultured bacterium. Its description in RNAcentral is "bacterial SSU rRNA". It matches the Rfam family "Bacterial small subunit ribosomal RNA", at positions 954 to 1392 of the family's 1533-position model. The record is from RNAcentral.
GCUAAACGCGAAGAACCUUACCACCUUUUGACAUGCCCGGACCGCCACGGAGACGUGGCUUUCCCUUCGGGGACUGGGACACAGGUGCUGCAUGGCUGUCGUCAGCUCGUGUCGUGAGAUGUUGGGUUAAGUCCCGCAACGAGCGCAACCCUCGCCAUUAGUUGCCAUCAUUUAGUUGGGAACUCUAAUGGGACUGCCGGUGCUAAGCCGGAGGAAGGUGGGGAUGACGUCAAGUCCUCAUGGCCCUUACAGGGUGGGCUACACACGUGCUACAAUGGCGACUACAGAGGGUUAAUCCUUAAAAGUCGUCUCAGUUCGGAUUGUCCUCUGCAACUCGAGGGCAUGAAGUUGGAAUCGCUAGUAAUCGCGAAUCAGAAUGUCGCGGUGAAUACGUUCCCGGGUCUUGUACACACCG